Molecule: long non-coding RNA, 243 nt
Organism: Seriola dumerili (greater amberjack)
Lineage: Eukaryota; Metazoa; Chordata; Actinopteri; Carangiformes; Carangidae
Exons: 4
Source: RefSeq, a predicted model, not a curated record
UUCCUCCAGAGCAAAACACAGAUUUCAGACAGGACAGAGCUGCUGCACCGAGUCUGAUGUAAAGAGAGAGGCGACGUCACAGGGAGAAGAUGAUCUGCUGCAUCCUGCUGCUCCUCACACUGACCUCCUGUGUCUGUGGAACAUUUGUAGUGAAUGUGACACAGAGCUCCUAUCAGGCAGAGGAGAACCACAACAUCACACUGGAGUGGAGCUUCACAACCAAACCUCACACUCCACCUGACU